ACAAAAUAGGGUGCUAGUGGCCUACUUUUACUAGUUAGGGUGGCUAAAAUGAUUUUUUUUUCUCUUUGUUUCUGCCAUAGUAGAUUUCCUUUGACCUUUGGACAGAUUUUGAACAGUGUUUUGCACACAAUGUCAGUUUUUGUCGGACAGACAUUUGGUGAACCAAAAUCUGUCCAAAUUUGCCUAUUUAAGAGUUGCCAUUUCCUCACUUUGGGGGGACUCCAUCACACUUCCAGGGGAUCAUUUUCUGCUUUUGAACAUUCAACAACAAAAAAAAAGUUAGCAGCGGAAGCAUCCUUUAGUAAGCUGAAAUUGUAAGUCUUAAGAGUGAAUCUUAAAGUGCAAACCUUUUUUUUUAGAAAAGUAUAAGUCCUCUUUAGAGUUUGCUUCUGGGUUUCUUCUCUGAGUUUUCGAGCUGUUUUAACACAGAUUUGCUAUUGGUUUUGCUGUUGUUGUACUGCUAUUUUUAUGCUGCUUUAGUUGCUGAGCUUCCAUUCUUUGUUGUUGUAUUUAUUAUUCUGCGACUCAAGUAACUCUUUAAUCUUAUGUUGCAGAUGUUUUCACACUAACAAGAAGAUUUGAACUCAUUUUGAUUGUUGAGAGCAUGUCCAUUUAAAUAAAUGAGUGCUUAGCUAAAUUUCUUUAUUGUUUAAAUAUAUCUUGUUGUAGUUCAU
RNAcentral lists this long non-coding RNA (674 nucleotides) under Nicotiana tabacum (common tobacco). RNAcentral's name for it is "long non-coding RNA (NTAB_LNC004013)". Lineage: Eukaryota; Viridiplantae; Streptophyta; Magnoliopsida; Solanales; Solanaceae. The record is from RNAcentral.